GAGUUAUGAUUAUCAUCAGAUGCCUGCUCCAUUCAUUCAGAUCAAAUUAUUGAAAAUUCUGGCAUUACUCGGAAGUGGUGACAAAAAAGCCAGUGAACAAAUGUAUACAAUUGUUGGUGACAUUAUGAGAAAGAGUGAUUCAUCAAGUAAUAUAGGAAACGCUAUUCUGUAUGAGUGCAUAUGCUGUGUCUCCUCAAUACAUCCUAACCCCAAGGUUUUAGAAACUGCAGCAGAAGCAGUUGCCAAAUUUUUGAAGAAUGAUAGCCAUAAUCUAAAGUACUUGGGGAUUGAUGCACUUGGUAGAUUAAUAAAGAUAAGUUCAGAAAUUGCUGAGCCGCACCAACUGGCCGUGAUUGAUUGUUUAGAGGACCCAGAUGAUACACUGAAGCGAAAGACUUUUGAGCUGCUGUAUAAAAUGACAAAGCCAUCGAAUGUAGAAGUUAUUGUUGACCGUAUGAUUGAUUACAUGAUGAGUAUAAGUGAUAACCAUUCUAAAACCGAGAUAGCAUCCAGAUGUGUCGAGCUUGCUGAGCAGUUUGCACCGAGCAAUCAAUGGUUUAUCCAGACCAUGAAUAAAGUGUUUGAGCACGCAGGAGAUCUAGUGAAUUUAAAAGUUGCUCACAACUUGAUGCGGCUGAUUGCUGAGGGAUUUGGAAAAGAAGAUGACACUGCAGAUAGUCAGCUGAGAUUAUCAGCUGUGGAAUCUUAUUUGCGUAUCAUGGGAGAGCCAAAACUUCCCUCUGCAUUUCUUCAGGUUAUUUGCUGGGUCUUGGGGGAGUAUGGUACUGCUGAUGGGAAGUAUUCUGCCUCCUAUAUCACAGGGAAAAUAAGUGAUAUUGCUGAGGCACAUUCAACUGAUGACAUGGUCAAGGCUUAUGCAGUAUCAGCACUUAUGAAAGUAUAUUCAUUUGAAAUAGCAGCUGGGAGGAAAGUGGACAUCUUGCCGGAGUGUCAGUCAUUCAUUGAAGAGUUGUUAGCAUCAAACUCAACAGAUCUACAACAACGAGCAUAUGAACUUCAAUCGGUUAUUGGCUUAGAUGCUCGUGCUGUUGAAAAUAUUAUUCCAAUGGAUGCUAGCUGUGAAGACAUCGUGGUUGAUAGAGAACUAUCGUUUCUCAAUGGUUAUGUUGAAGAGUCACUGAAAAAAGGGGCUCAACCCUAUAUUCCUGAGAGUGAGCGAUCAGGAGCUUUAAGUAUCAGCAGUUUAAGAGUUGAAGAACUACAUGGAUCAUCGGGACAUUCUCUUAGAUUUGAAGCCUAUGAUCUUCCAAAACCUUCUGUACCAUCAAGACCCCCAGUUCCACCAGUAUCCUCAACCGAACUUGUUCCUGUACCAGAACCAACUUAUCACAGAGAGUUUCAUGAGGCUGUUGCACCAAAAUUUUCCGUGUCUGGUACAGGCUCAUCUGAAAUCAAGCUACGACUUGAUGGUGUUCAAAAGAAGUGGGGUAAGCAAACUUAUUCCUCUUCCUCACCAUCUACUACAGACUCUGAUACCUAUAAGACUCAGAAUGGAGCGACCCAGCGUGAUGUAACAAGCAGCUUAAGCUCAAAAACACGUGAUGUAUCUUACGACUCAAGAAGGCAGCAGGAGGAAAUUAAUCCGGAAAAGCAAAAACUUGCUGCAUCCCUCUUUGGUGGUGUAUCAAAAACUGAAAAAAGACCUGCUGCUGGCCACAAGACAUCAAGGCCAAGCAGCCGUGUUGCAGACAAGUCUCAUGCAGAAAAGAGUGGACCUUCCGAUGGAGGUGCUGUGAAAGCAAGUCCCCAACCACCUCCAGACUUGCUCGACAUGGGUGAACCGACUAGUAUUAGUAAUACAACUUUUGAGGAUCCUUUCAAGCAAUUAGAAGGGUUGCUUGAUUUAAAUGAAGGAACUGCAGCUGUAGGUUCCAGUAGUGCUACUAAAGCACCUGAUUUUAUGUCUCUUUAUGGUGACACUUCCUUAAGUGGGCAGAAUAUGGGAAUGACAGAUCUCCUUUCAAC
This 1986-nucleotide unclassified non-coding RNA is filed under the name Hevea brasiliensis (rubber tree). The record is from RNAcentral. Lineage: Eukaryota; Viridiplantae; Streptophyta; Magnoliopsida; Malpighiales; Euphorbiaceae.